AAGAAAGAAAAGAAAGACAGAAACAAGUUAUUUGCAUUCCUUUUCCAUUACAGAUUGUGUGUGAUAGAAGAAAAGGCGGUACGAGGUUGAUUGUCUGGAUGUGUGGGGGAGGGAGCGAUCAUCUGAAGGCCUCACAACUAAUUUAGAAAACUAAAUCACUGAGUGUGUGUGAGUGCAGUCAAAGGGCACCUGCUUUGCAUGCAGUGCACAAUCGCAGGCUCGCUGCAAAAAUGUCUGUUCGUUUCAGCAUCUAAAACAGGAACGCUGCUGCUGAAGCCUCCUUCCUGUCCAGGUUGCAGUCUGAUCCCACUCGUCUGCUUCAUGAUGUACGUGCCGAGCAGGAAAACAUCCUCAAGCUGCUCUUUUAUCCAU
Sebastes umbrosus (honeycomb rockfish) is the source of this 372-nucleotide long non-coding RNA. RefSeq lists it as uncharacterized. The transcript is spliced from 2 exons. NCBI's taxonomy places the organism in Eukaryota, Metazoa, Chordata, Actinopteri, Perciformes, Sebastidae. The record is from RefSeq and is a predicted model, not a curated record.